GACGAACGCUGGCGGCGUGCCUAAUACAUGCAAGUUGAGCGCUGAAGGUUGGUACUUGUACCAACUGGAUGAGCAACGAACGGGUGAGUAACGCGUGGGGAAUCUGCCUUUGAGCGGGGGACAACAUUUGGAAACGAAUGCUAAUACCGCAUAAAAACUUUAAACACAAGUUUUAAGUUUGAAAGAUGCAAUUGCAUCACUCAAAGAUGAUCCCGCGUUGUAUUAGCUAGUUGGUGAGGUAAAGGCUCACCAAGGCGAUGAUACAUAGCCGACCUGAGAGGGUGAUCGGCCACAUUGGGACUGAGACACGGCCCAAACUCCUACGGGAGGCAGCAGUAGUGAAUCUUCGGCAAUGGACGAAAGUCUGACCGAGCAACGCCGCGUGAGUGAAGAAGGUUUUCGGAUCGUAAAACUCUGUUGGUAGAGAAGAACGUUGGUGAGAGUGGAAAGCUCAUCAAGUGACGGUAACUACCCAGAAAGGGACGGCUAACUACGUG
This 497-nucleotide ribosomal RNA is filed under the name uncultured bacterium. RNAcentral's name for it is "partial 16S ribosomal RNA". It matches the Rfam family "Bacterial small subunit ribosomal RNA", at positions 28 to 507 of the family's 1533-position model. The record is from RNAcentral.